GACGAACGCUGGCGGCGUGCUUAACACAUGCAAGUCGAACGGAAAGGCCCUGCUUUUGUGGGGUGCUCGAGUGGCGAACGGGUGAGUAACACGUGAGUAACCUGCCCUUGACUUUGGGAUAACUUCUGGAAACUGGGGCUAAUACCGGAUAGGAGCUCCUGCUGCAUGGUGGGGGUUGGAAAGAUUCGGCGGUUGGGGAUGGACUCGCGGCUUAUCAGCUUGUUGGUGGGGUAGUGGCUUACCAAGGCUUUGACGGGUAGCCGGCCUGAGAGGGUGACCGGCGACAUUGGGACUGAGAUACGGCCCAGACUCCUACGGGAGGCAGCAGUGGGGAAUAUUGCAGAAUGGGCGGAAGCGUGAUGCAGCAACGCCGCGUGCGGGAUGACGGCCUUCGGGUUGUAAACCGCUUUCGCCUGUGACGAAGCGUGAGUGACGGUAAUGGGUAAAGAAGCAACGGCUAACUACGUG
RNAcentral lists this ribosomal RNA (468 nucleotides) under uncultured bacterium. RNAcentral's name for it is "partial 16S ribosomal RNA". It matches the Rfam family "Bacterial small subunit ribosomal RNA", at positions 28 to 507 of the family's 1533-position model. The record is from RNAcentral.